Molecule: transfer RNA, 79 nt
Filed under: Alphaproteobacteria bacterium
Lineage: Bacteria; Pseudomonadati; Pseudomonadota; Alphaproteobacteria
Also listed under: 1 other name
Description: tRNA-Leu
Rfam family: tRNA
About the family: Transfer RNA (tRNA) molecules are approximately 80 nucleotides in length.
Source: RNAcentral
GCCCCGGUAGACCAACAUGGUAGGAGUCAUCUGCCUUAGAAGCAGAGCAGCGUCAGUUCGAAUCUGACCCGGGGUACCA